Molecule: ribosomal RNA, 497 nt
Filed under: uncultured bacterium
Lineage: Bacteria
Description: partial 16S ribosomal RNA
Rfam family: Bacterial small subunit ribosomal RNA
Source: RNAcentral
GAUGAACGCUGGCGGCGUGCCUAAUACAUGCAAGUCGAGCGAACAGACGAGGAGCUUGCUCCUCUGACGUUAGCGGCGGACGGAUGAGUAACACGUGGAUAACCUACCUAUAAGACUGGGAUAACUUCGGGAAACCGGAGCUAAUACCGGAUAAUAUAUUGAACCGCAUGGUUCAAUAGUGAAAGACGGUUUUGCUGUCACUUAUAGAUGGAUCCGCGCCGCAUUAGCUAGUUGGUAAGGUAACGGCGUACCAAGGCAACGAUGCGUAGCCGACCUGAGAGGGUGAGCGGCCACACUGGAACUGAGACACGGUCCAGACUCCUACGGGAGGAAGCAGUAGAGAAUCUUCCGCAAUGGGCGAAAGCUUGACGGAGCAACGCCGCGUGAGUGAUGAAGGUCUUCGGAUCGUAAAACUCUGUUAUUAGGGAAGAACAAAUGUGUAAGUAACUAUGCACGUCUUGACGGUACCUAAUCAGAAAGCCACGGCUAACUACGUG